UACGAAGGGGGCUAGCGUUGUUCGGAAUCACUGGGCGUAAAGCGCACGUAGGCGGAUUUUUAAGUCAGGGGUGAAAUCCCGGGGCUCAACCUCGGAACUGCCUUUGAUACUGGGAGUCUAGAGUCCGGAAGAGGUGAGUGGAACUGCGAGUGUAGAGGUGAAAUUCGUAGAUAUUCGCCAGAACACCAGUGGCGAAGGCGGCUCACUGGUCCGGAACUGACGCUGAGGUGCGAAAGCGUGGGGAG
Molecule: ribosomal RNA, 245 nt
Filed under: uncultured bacterium
Lineage: Bacteria
Description: partial 16S ribosomal RNA
Rfam family: Bacterial small subunit ribosomal RNA
Source: RNAcentral